GGGGAAUUGUUCACAAUGGGCGCAAGCCUGAUGACGCAACGCCGCGUGGGGGAUGAAGGUCUUCGGAUUGUAAACCCCUGUCGAAUGGGACGAAAGACUCGCGAGUGAAUCCUUCGCGAGAGUGACGGUACCGUUAAAGGAAGCCACGGCUAACUCUGUGCCAGCAGCCGCGGUAAUACGGCGGGUGCGAGCGUUGUCCGGAAGCACUGGGCGUAAAGGGCGCGUAGGCGGCAUGCCAAGCGUGUGGUGAAAGCCCGGGGCUCAACCCCGGGUCGGCCGUGCGGACUGGCGUGCUCGAGCACUGUAGGGGCGGGUGGAAUUCCGGGUGUAGCGGUGGAAUGCGUAGAGAUCCGGAAGAACACCGGUGGCGAAGGCGGCCCGCUGGGCAGGAAGACACCGCAAGGUGUCGGCUGACGCUGAGGCGCGACAGCGUGGGGAGCAAA
This 443-nucleotide ribosomal RNA is filed under the name uncultured bacterium. RNAcentral's name for it is "bacterial SSU rRNA". It matches the Rfam family "Bacterial small subunit ribosomal RNA", at positions 356 to 772 of the family's 1533-position model. The record is from RNAcentral.